CACUCCCGCACUCGCGCGUCGCCGCCUAGCUGCUCCCCCCGCCGCAUGUGCCCGCCUUCGCGUCGUCGCCUCCGCUCGCCCUCGCGUUGUGGCCUCCGCUCGUCCGCGCGCCGUGGCCUCCGUUCGCCUCGUGUCGUCGCCCUUCUUCGUUCCCUGCAGCCACUGCCGUUGCUGCCACCACGGCCACCACCGCGCUCUUAUCCCCCCCUCCCUGCUCGUCUCCAGUCACCGAGCUGGUUGCCGCCGCGCUGCUCUCCUGCCUCGACGUGCCGGUCUGGCGGAGCUCGUUGUCUCAGCGAACCGCGACAUCAGCUCCGAGGACGCAGCGGCGAGGCUGCAAAGGUACGGGCCCAACAAGCUGGAGUGGCCCGAGCGUCCAAUCUCAACCAUCACCCGGAACCCUAGCCUUCCCCCCUUCCCAUGGCGCGGGAUGCCCUCCAAGAGGAGCGUCCGAUGCGUGGAGGCCAUGGAGUAGCUGCUUGGUUCAAGGGCAUGCCUUGGCUGCUCCCUAUGUUGAGCGUGUGGACGGGCCAGAUUCAGCGCUGGGUACAUGAUUGUGAUAUAAUAUUGCGUGGAAGAAAAACCACCGUUGCUUUUACGGUUUUAGGAUGUGCUGCAAGAUUGAUUUGCAUUGUUCUCAUGGUGCAUUCUUUCUGUAGGCAACGGAAUUAUUAGGCCCUUGUGUGCUGAAUUUGGCUCGACACAUUUACAAGACGAGAACAACCUCACGAGGAGGCACUAUUCAUUGCAACAGUGUUGCCUCUUGAUCCAACGGCCCAGAUCAUUCAGGUUGGCGCCCUCGCGCAAAGAUUCCCAUCCUCUCUGCCCUCGAUGACCAGUUUGGUGGCGCCGUGACCAGCAGCAACGGCCUCUCCUCGGCAAGCAUAGACCGCAGGGUCGUCUUCCUCUCUGCCCGCUUCCACACCGUCAUGGAUAUCUCAGACCUCAUCCUCGAGAAGCUCCUCUACCAGGUACAAACAUUCAGAUUCAGGCCGUCUCCCUCCCUCUGCAUCUCUGUAAAAAUAGGGUAAGCAUUUCUUCGGAAAUACACGCUGUUCUGAUUUGGUUCCUUCCGUAUUGACCUGUGCAAAAUAGGAUCAAUGAAACCAUUGGUUGUAAUCAAGAGUAUAACGAUAUGUUCUCUUCAUGGUGCUUUACCUCAAGAUGUUUGAUAUAUGCUCAUCUUGUACGUUUAACUUUUUUGGUAAUUACUGAAUUGUUUCCUUUUACAGUGUUCUGCCAGGGAGGAAGUGAACUCACAAAAAUAUGAGCCAUGUGACAUGAUCUGCUUGCAGCAAAUCUUACUUGCUCCCUAUUGGGAAUUUUUCUUUUCACAUGUUGUUGAGUGAUGGGCAAACAGUAAUGAUGCAAGUCGAGUGAUUGAUAAUCAGUAUAUUAUAGGUCCUGGUUUCAUUGUUUAAAGUCAUAAUGCAGUCAUGCUUGAGGUGGAUGUGUAUAAAAUUCUGUAACGACUGUAUGUUGCUGCCUACAUGUGCUUGAGUUGUUCAUGUUAUCCUAAAUGGAUAUUUCUAGAAGAUUAAUUUAGCCAAUAGGAUGCCUGGUCAUGCUUGAUAUGCUCUGUAUCAUGAUUCAUAUUUAAGUGUUUUCUCAUUCGUUGGUACAUAGAUAUACUAAAAAGCUUUUAGCUUUGUGAGUGUCAAAUAGUCUAUGAUUGCUUGUACCUUUCCAUUUGCAUUUGAUAAAGUUUCUAUAUCUAUAUGUUACUCAUGUGUCAUGCUAGAUAGAAUCACUUCUCUUUUGGAUAAUUGUCAUUAGCAUGCCACUUUCUUCUGGAUAAUUCAUAAUGGCCACCGGCGAGCUGCAUAUCGUUCAUAUUCCUUAGCGGCAUUAUGGUACUAACUGCCAUUUUUUAACUUUCUUUUGGAUAAUUCAUAAUGUCCACCGGCGACCUGCAUAUUGUUUAUAUUCCUUAGCGGCUUAUAGUACUAACUGCCAAUCUUUUGUAAAAUAAUUUUCUUUAUAUGCUUAUUGUUAUUGUUUCAUCUCACAAUUUUCUUCUCAAUUGAUCUGCAUAUUGUAGGCUAUUUCCUCUGCCAGAAUGAAAGGAGAAUAUGCUGAGAGUUGUGCAGAUAGCCUUCACGCAUGAUGAGAGUCUCAUUGCUUUACCGACAAGAAGCAAUGGAAGGCGAUGCCACUGCAGUUUAUGCGCUCAGGUUUCUCCGCUUCUGUUUGGCCUCUGUCAGUUGUAUUUUGAGCAUUGGCAUCUCUAGCCGAGCUGCGCAAGCAGAAUGCUGAGCAGGAGCAGCUCGGGGAUUAAGCAAAGGUCUAAAAUGUUGAAUCUCCCAAUAAAGUGGUACUGUAUAUCUCAGCUUCACUCAACAUCUUCUACCUCAACCAGAAUUCAGCUACUAAACACAUCCAGUUAAUCCAUGAAUAAUUGUGAACCUCUGGUAUUUCUCUCUCUGCCGUGUGAACUGAUAAAUGCCGGAUGACAAAGUUGUGAACUAAGCAGCAAAAUGAGGCCAAGAGCCCGAUGGGGUUGUAGCUAUCGCCCCCUUCGGUGUACAUGAACCAGGCAAAACGCCACUGUCAAUGUGAGCGAUGACGAGCGAAUGGGCAGCGACAUAAUGCACCAUGGCAUGACGAUUAGAUCAGCGAUAUGAUUGUUGCGGUGGACAAUGCCAAGGAUCAGUUCUUUUUGUCGAUUGUUGUGUGGGAUUCUAUGUCAAUAUUUUCUGGAAACUUCUGUUUUCUUGAUUCAAAUUAUUUAAGAAAUUGUGAAUUUUGGUGCCUUUUGUAAGUAAAUGUCAGUGUCAAGGCGCCUUUUGUAUAUUUCAAGUAAUUCUUAGAACGUUGCCAA
This is a long non-coding RNA of Triticum dicoccoides, 2821 nucleotides long. RefSeq lists it as uncharacterized. NCBI's taxonomy places the organism in Eukaryota, Viridiplantae, Streptophyta, Magnoliopsida, Poales, Poaceae. The transcript is spliced from 6 exons. The record is from RefSeq and is a predicted model, not a curated record.